Molecule: non-coding RNA, 3473 nt
Organism: Neolamprologus brichardi
Lineage: Eukaryota; Metazoa; Chordata; Actinopteri; Cichliformes; Cichlidae
Source: RefSeq, a predicted model, not a curated record
UGAGUAAUUAGUAUUUAAAUGGCAGUAUUUUAGUAUAAUAUAGUAUUUUUUUUUCAUUUAUGUUAUAUUAAGGUUUGUUUAUUUUUGUUUUUUGCCUUUUUUUUAAUGACUGUACAUUAAAAAAAUUACAGUUGGUGAUUGGGUUAACUUGUUGGUUACACUAAUUAUUUAUAUAAUUAGAUCAAUACACAAUGCUGGAAAACCAUUAAGUCUAGGAUGUCCUGCAGCCGCAGCACACCUCUGUCUGAUGGAAAGUUAAACAAGCUGCAAAUGUUGGCUUUGUAAACCAGUGUGGUUCUGCACUAAAGUGAUUUAUAAUAACUGUAGUUAUGCCACACUAGUGACCUAUUAUCUUAUUACCUGAGUUAACAACUAUAGUAUGUUCAUAGUAUGUUCUGCACAGUCCAAAGGGGAUCACAUUUCAGUAAAAUUGAAAAUAACAAGAUUGCAGAAGAAUGCAGUCUUUCUUUUCUUUUCCUUUUUUUUUUAAAUUAAUGAGAAUUCUUUACCUUGGUUUAUUUCAUUGACUGUCUCCUCACUUGAAGACUAUUUGACAAGUCUGAUUUUGUUUUCCACCUUCUUUUGUUAAAUACUACUCAGUUAUUUGCCAGGAUUAUCCUUAUUUGAAAUUGUAUCAUCAUUAUAACAGUCUCCUAUAUCCUUGUGUCAUUAUUACCUUUGUGGCCUUAUUGACAUCUAAUAGGUUUCCAGUCACUAAGCUUUUUUUUAAUAUGUUUCUUUGGGGGUUUUUUUUAAAAUAAUUUUUCCCCUCUGCCCCAUCAAAGUGUUCUUCGGCAUCGUUGGAGCCAUUGCUGUUUGUUGUUGUUGUGUGUUUUACCACAAAAACAGCAAAAAAGGAAAGCGGUAAAGUUAUGUUUUAUUGAACUUUGCUGACUAACCCUUGAAAUAGCUUUGUCCUUGUAAUGGCUUUGUGUUGCUUGCUUCUCAGCUACUCAUUAAUUUUCCACCUUUUCUUUCUAUCCAAGCUUUGUAUAAUCUUAGUGUUGCAUGUUGAAACUUUGUACUUUUCGUAAGGCUUCCUGGAUAAUGUAUUUCUCUACUACAGUGUUAUUUUUCCUACACAGAGCUGUAGGGUUUAGCUCAGUCUCAAAUGACCUAUGCUGGUUUUAAUCACAUUUUUGAUAAUCACAAUUAAAUUAAAAAAAAAAAAAAAAAACAGCCAAUUUCAGCUGGUAGUAAAGCAUGUAGUGUUUUAAAAUAAUGAAUUAGGUGAGUAGUGGUUUAAAUUGUGUUGUUACAUACAACAUUUUUCAUAUGUUGAUGCUUGGCUAUGUCCCUUUCUGAGGCAAUGCGACUGCUGUGAAUACCACGACAAAGAUUUUGUUUCAUUUGCAUUAGCUUAUGUACCAUAGCUAAUUCUUAGAUUUCAGGGCUGUGAAUAUGGUCAAAGAAAUGCAUCUCAUUUUUUAGAUUUUUAAAACUUUCUAUUGAUUAAAUUUACCUGUACAAUGGGAAGUGUGUUCUAUACCAGUGACACAUUUCCAGAGAAGCGUUGUAUGAAACUCGGUGGCUUUCCUGUUGUGGACUUCAAAGUCUUACACUUAGGUGUUGGACUUGACAAACUGAGGGUAUCAGUGAGGUAGAUUCACAUACAUAUAAUACAAUCUAUAGUGGAGGAUAGAACUUGACAAGGGAGCAUUUGGUGGUGGUAUAAUAAUUUAUUCCUGCAGAAUCUUAUCAUUAUUUGUAUUUAUAAGAGAAAUAUAAACAGCCCAAAUAGUAUGUAGGCAUAGUUUACAAAGUAUAUUGUAAUCUCUUUAGUCGCAUGAAGGAUUUUAAUUACGUUUUGGAACAUCUGAUAUUAAUUUGCUAUUUAUUUUAGCUUUGAUUGGAGUCUUUAAAAAAAAAAGAAAGAAAAAAAGCCAAAUAUGCUGUUAUUGAUGAAGUUUUAUUGACCUGUUUGUUUCUGCUAACAGGAAUGAACAGGUAAUAUUUCGUAUCUCAUCAAACAAAUUUGGCUGUUUUGACUAUAAGAGGUGAAAGAGUAGCUGCAGGCACGGGUGCUGCUUGUGUGGGGUGGUCCUUGUGAUGAGUGGUAUGUAGUCCUGUGGUGGUUUCUGUGGACUUCUUCAUUCCAUGUAGCUUUCUGUUUGCUUUGUUGUAUAUUAUCAAUAAUGUUGACCAGUCAUUACUGGAUUACAGCACUCGAAGAGGCAAUACUGACAAAGAUGCUACAAAUGUGGGAGAGGAUGUACUGUAGCACUCUCGUAAGCAUGGCAGCCUGGCUACUCCACGACUGCUGUUUAUAAAAACAGCUUCCUAAGAAGAAUGCCAAAGGACCAGUCUUGAAUGUACAGGCCCUCCGUGUGCACGCAUUUGCCUGAAGUUUCUGAGCAACUCUCUUAAAAUUGGUUUCCAAAGACCGAGAAACAUCUUUGGAUUGGGACACGUUAUGCUUCAAGUGGCUUGUCUCAUGACUUUCAGUAUUCUGAUCAUUAGGAAGAAACUGAUGAAUAUUUAUCAGAAAAGCUAAAAUUCUAUGUUAAAUUUAUCUGUUGCACUGUAGUAAAGGAACACCACUUGACCAUUGUAGUUUAUUUAAACAGAUGGUGUAAAACAAGCAAAAUUAGCACAUUGUCUGUUUGGUUGUCAUAUGGCUUAACUGAAGUUUAGCCAAAAUAAUUAGAUACUAUGUAACUACUCAUUUGGAUCAAAUAAAUUUGUUGGAACAGUUUGGUGUGUAUAUAGGACUGCUGGUUGAUGAACCAGUCCUGUACUUAUGACUUGCAGAAAGAAAGUGGAAAAAAAAAAAGAAGAAAGUUGGAUCUGUAAAAUGGCCCCAAACCUAAAUGUAAGGCAUUUUUGAUUGUUUUAGCUUGUGCUUCAUUUAAAUAGUUGUGAAUUUCAUGAAUGUUAACCCAGUUAUUGGGUAUAAAAACUGCCUGCAGUGUUUGGCCUUUAAUAAUGUCAGCACCUUGUUUUUUUUGAAUUUGCCAAAAUGAGUUUAAAGUCUCUUAAUGUAUGCUCAAUCAUCCAGGAAAGGAAAUCCCAAAAAGUUGAUUCUGUUCAUCUGGACUCGUCUUCAGUCUCAGCUGAGACUGAAGAAGUCACUUGGAUGAAUGAUGAAAAACGUUUCUCUGGAAAGAAGUCACUUGGAUGAAUGAUGAAAAACGUUUCUCUGGAAAUGCUAUGAUGAACAGAAUCAACUCUUUGGGAUUGAGUUUCAAGGUCUCAUUGACAAGGGGGAGAAAAAAAAAUCUUAAACUUGGAUUUCAUGUCUUUUAAACGUCUUUGUGUAUAUCAUCCUGUCACUGCAUCAGUUUUUUUUUUUUUUUUUAAUGAUCUUUUGACUACUCACUGUUCAGGACAUGAAGAUAAAUAUUUUGAGUAUUAGCACACUUGUCUUGCUUAAUAUUUAUUUAUUCAAAUAAAAUCUUUUCUUUUUAAGUAGAUUUAAAUUGUUGUCUUUGGGACAAAAUUUUAUAUUAAUAAAAUAAAAUGAAUGAAGACAA